This 119-nucleotide ribosomal RNA is filed under the name Pteropus alecto (black flying fox). RNAcentral also lists the same sequence under 1 other name. The record is from RNAcentral. Lineage: Eukaryota; Metazoa; Chordata; Mammalia; Chiroptera; Pteropodidae.
AUCUAUGGCCAUGCCACUCUGAACGUGUCCAAUCUCAUCUGAUCUCGGAAGCUAAGCAGGGUUAGGCCUGGUUAAUACUUGGAUGGGAGACCACCUAGGAAUACCAGAUGCUGUAGGCG